RNAcentral lists this ribosomal RNA (424 nucleotides) under Candidatus Glomeribacter gigasporarum. RNAcentral's name for it is "bacterial SSU rRNA". It matches the Rfam family "Bacterial small subunit ribosomal RNA", at positions 70 to 488 of the family's 1533-position model. Lineage: Bacteria; Pseudomonadati; Pseudomonadota; Betaproteobacteria; Burkholderiales; Burkholderiaceae. The record is from RNAcentral.
UUCACAGGUUGAAACACUGGGUGGCGAGUGGCGAACGGGUGAGUAAUAAUAUCGGAACGUAUCCUGUAGAGGGGGAUAGCCCGGCGAAAGCCGGAUUAAUACCGCAUAUGCUCAAAAGAGGAAGGCGGGGGACCGGAUGGGUGACCAUUGGGCCUCGCGCUAGAGGGGCGGCCGAUGUCGGAUUAUGCUAGUUGGUGGGGUAAGGGCCUACCAAGGCGGUGAUCCGUAGCGGGUCUGAGAGGAUGAUCCGCCACACUGGGACUGAGACACGGCCCAGACUCCUACGGGAGGCAGCAGUGGGGAAUUUUGGACAAUGGGGGCAACCCUGAUCCAGCAAUGCCGCGUGUGUGAAGAAGGCCUUCGGGUGUAAAGCACUUUUGUCCGAAAAGAAAGGGCUCCCGUAAAUAAUCGGAGUGGAUGACAA